RNAcentral lists this transfer RNA (69 nucleotides) under Ictidomys tridecemlineatus (thirteen-lined ground squirrel). Its description in RNAcentral is "Spermophilus tridecemlineatus (thirteen-lined ground squirrel) tRNA". It matches the Rfam family "tRNA". From Rfam's summary of the family: Transfer RNA (tRNA) molecules are approximately 80 nucleotides in length. Their secondary structure includes four short double-helical elements and three loops (D, anti-codon, and T loops). The record is from Rfam by way of RNAcentral. Lineage: Eukaryota; Metazoa; Chordata; Mammalia; Rodentia; Sciuridae.
GGGGUUGUGGCUAAGCGGUAGAGCACUCAGCUAGCACAUGUGAGGCCCUGAGUUCAAUCCUCAGCACCA